UACGUAGGGUGCAAGCGUUGUCCGGAAUUAUUGGGCGGAAAGAGCUCGUAGGCGGUUCGUCGCGUCGGCUGUGAAAACCCGGAGCUCAACUCCGGGCCUGCAGUCGAUACGGGCGGACUAGAGUUCGGCAGGGGAGACUGGAAUUCCUGGUGUAGCGGUGAAAUGCGCAGAUAUCAGGAGGAACACCGGUGGCGAAGGCGGGUCUCUAGGCCGAUACUGACGCUGAGGAGCGAAAGCGUGGGGAGCGAACAGG
This 253-nucleotide ribosomal RNA is filed under the name uncultured bacterium. Its description in RNAcentral is "partial 16S ribosomal RNA". It matches the Rfam family "Bacterial small subunit ribosomal RNA", at positions 524 to 776 of the family's 1533-position model. The record is from RNAcentral.